AUUGAACGCUGGCGGCAGGCCUAACACAUGCAAGUCGAACGGUAGCACAGAGAGCUUGCUCUUGGGUGACGAGUGGCGGACGGGUGAGUAAUGUCUGGGAAACUGCCCGAUGGAGGGGGAUAACUACUGGAAACGGUAGCUAAUACCGCAUAACGUCGCAAGACCAAAGUGGGGGACCUUCGGGCCUCACACCAUCGGAUGUGCCCAGAUGGGAUUAGCUAGUAGGUGGGGUAAUGGCUCACCUAGGCGACGAUCCCUAGCUGGUCUGAGAGGAUGACCAGCCACACUGGAACUGAGACACGGUCCAGACUCCUACGGGAGGCAGCAGUGGGGAAUAUUGCACAAUGGGCGCAAGCCUGAUGCAGCCAUGCCGCGUGUAUGAAGAAGGCCUUGGUGUAAGUACUUUCUAGCGAGGAGGAAGGACGA
This 426-nucleotide ribosomal RNA is filed under the name uncultured bacterium. RNAcentral's name for it is "bacterial SSU rRNA". It matches the Rfam family "Bacterial small subunit ribosomal RNA", at positions 30 to 456 of the family's 1533-position model. The record is from RNAcentral.